This 294-nucleotide ribosomal RNA is filed under the name Trichochermes grandis. RNAcentral's name for it is "partial 12S ribosomal RNA". The record is from RNAcentral. Lineage: Eukaryota; Metazoa; Arthropoda; Insecta; Hemiptera; Triozidae.
GAGUAAUAAAAGUUUUUAUCUCCAAACUCAAAAGAUUUGGCGGUAUUUUAUCUUAUUAGAGAAACCUGUUUAGUAAUUGAUAAUCCACAACUUUAUUUACUUUUAUUAUUAUAUUUGUAUACCGCUGUCAUGAAUGUAUUUAAAAAUUUAUUUUUUAUUUUUAUAAUAUAAAUGUUAGGUCAAGGUGCAGUUUAUAAAGAUUAAAAUGGGUUACUAAAAGAAAUAUGAAUGUAAGAAAGAGGAUUUAAAAGUAAAAUUAUAAAGAAAUAUUAUGAAUUAAGAUUCUAAAAUAUG